Molecule: microRNA precursor, 60 nt
Organism: Homo sapiens (human)
Lineage: Eukaryota; Metazoa; Chordata; Mammalia; Primates; Hominidae
Source: Ensembl
GGUGCCUCGGGAGGGCAUGGGCCAGGCCACAUAAUGAGCCAAACCCCUGUCUACCCGCAG